This 212-nucleotide unclassified non-coding RNA is filed under the name uncultured Tomentella. RNAcentral describes it as "sequence contains ITS2". Lineage: Eukaryota; Fungi; Basidiomycota; Agaricomycetes; Thelephorales; Thelephoraceae. The record is from RNAcentral.
ACACCUCAACUCUCAUGGUUUUGCCGUGAUGAGCUUGGACUUUGGGGGUCUUGCUGGCCUGCGGUCGGCUCCUCUCAAAUGAAUCAGCUUGCCAGUGUUUGGUGGCAUCACGGGUGUGAUAACUAUCUACGCUUGUGGUUUUCCACCAGGUAACCUUCAGUGAUGGGGGUUCGCUGGGGCUCAUAAACGUCCCUCGAGGACAGCCUUUGAAC